GAUUGGUCCAACAGGAUGCACACGCAGUCAUUCACAUUAAAGUCUGGGCAGCUCCUUCAUCAUCAUCAUUAUUAUCGUUCCUCAAGGAAAUCCAAGGCCCUCGGUGAUGGAUGAAGUUGGUUAGAUGUUGAGAUUGAAGAUUGUGCAGAAGGCAACUCCAUGAAGACCUGGUGUGGUGGUGAAGGCUUGAGGAGAAGAACUGGAGUGUCCUGCACAGAGCCCUGAUCCUGACUCAACCCCACUGACCACCUCUGGGAUGAACUGGAACUCCAGACCUCUUCACACAAGAGUCUGAUCUCACUAAUGCUCUUCUAGCUGAAUGACCACUAAUCCCCAUAGACACGACCCAACAUCUUUUUGGAGAACCUUCCAGAAGAGUGGCUCUGAUUAGAACAGGGGGAGUAAAGCUGGAAUGAGACAUACAACACACACAUAUGGGUGUGAUGGUCAGGGUGCACAAACCUUUGGCCACACAGCAGGAAAGAAACAAAAACUGAACAAAUGAAAAGUAAAACUGUGGCACAGGAUUGGAGAACCGCUGAAAAGCUCAAGACUUCAAAUCUCCAGCAAACAAGCUUCAGAAGCCGUUCACGCUCAUACUGAAACUUAUCCUUCCUCUGAAUCCAAACCGAAAAACUCCAAAUCAGUCAGACUGUAGAGGUGUAGAAAGCGGUGUCCUGUGAGCGGUCCUUCAUUCCUGGCUCUGGGAGAACCCUGAAAGGUUCUGUGUAAACCUCUAAAGGUAACCUGUAAAGUGUAAACUGUGAGGUUCUGAUGAGCUCCAUUUUUGAUGCCAGUGAAUCCUUCACACUCCUUGCUUUGAUGAGAACAUGCCUACAGCAUCACUCUGCUCAAAAGUAUUUACCUUUUGUGAAGUUUACCUUUUUGGUCUGGAAACUUUGUGAGUUUGCAGAAGAGCAAAAACAUUAAAAACAUAAAAACCAGAUGUUGGUAAAUGUGAGUUAAAGACAGUAACACAGUCACUGGUGCGUAUUCAUUGCAUUUCACUGGGUUUAUUAGGGUUUUUUUUUUUCUUCCUUUAAGUGUACUAUUUACACAAAUGUUCAGGCACUCUGGACUUACAAUCACACUCGCGUACAGAUUACAAAAAACAAAAAACAAAAGCAAAAACAGAAACAACAGAUCUUAGAAAGCAUCAGAUCCUGAAGAGUUUCCAUGUUUAAAUAACUAUAAACACAAAGAAAUAACAUCUGAAACUCAUUUUCUGCUUCAUCAUUAUAAUCAUAAAUCAUCAUCAUCAUCAUCAUCUGUAUUCAAGUAAAAACAUGUCAAUGCUUACACACACACACACACACACACACACACACACACACACACACAGCAGAUCCUCUCCAAA
Long non-coding RNA from Hemibagrus wyckioides, 1357 nucleotides. RefSeq lists it as uncharacterized. Lineage: Eukaryota; Metazoa; Chordata; Actinopteri; Siluriformes; Bagridae. The record is from RefSeq and is a predicted model, not a curated record. The transcript is spliced from 2 exons.